UCUAGUGGCGGACGGGUGAGUAACGCGUGGGUAACCUGCCUUAUACCGGGGGAUAACAGCCAGAAAUGGCUGCUAAUACCGCAUAAGCGCACAGAACCGCAUGGUUCCGUGUGAAAAACUCCGGUGGUAUAAGAUGGACCCGCGUUGGAUUAGCUAGUUGGCAGGGCAGCGGCCUACCAAGGCGACGAUCCAUAGCCGGCCUGAGAGGGUGAACGGCCACAUUGGGACUGAGACACGGCCCAGACUCCUACGGGAGGCAGCAGUGGGGAAUAUUGCACAAUGGGGGAAACCCUGAUGCAGCGACGCCGCGUGAAGGAAGAAGUAUCUCGGUAUGUAAACUUCUAUCAGCAGGGAAGAUAAUGACGGUACCUGACUAAGAAGCCCCGGCUAACUACGUGCCAGCAGCCGCGGUAAUACGUAGGGGGCAAGCGUUAUCCGGAUUUACUGGGUGUAAAGGGAGCGUAGACGGCGCAGCAAGUCUGAUGUGAAAGGCAGGGGCUUAACCCCUGGACUGCAUUGGAAACUGCUGUGCUUGAGUGCCGGAGGGGUAAGCGGAAUUCCUAGUGUAGCGGUGAAAUGCG
RNAcentral lists this ribosomal RNA (581 nucleotides) under uncultured Lachnospiraceae bacterium. Its description in RNAcentral is "bacterial SSU rRNA". It matches the Rfam family "Bacterial small subunit ribosomal RNA", at positions 91 to 690 of the family's 1533-position model. Lineage: Bacteria; Bacillati; Bacillota; Clostridia; Lachnospirales; Lachnospiraceae. The record is from RNAcentral.